This 433-nucleotide ribosomal RNA is filed under the name uncultured bacterium. RNAcentral describes it as "partial 16S ribosomal RNA". It matches the Rfam family "Bacterial small subunit ribosomal RNA", at positions 29 to 507 of the family's 1533-position model. The record is from RNAcentral.
AACGAACGCUGGCGGCAUGCUUAACACAUGCAAGUCGAGCGAAACCCGCUGGUCUAUCGGCUGACGGAUGAUUAACGCCGGGGAACGUACUCUUGUGUACUGAAUCUCCCCGUGAGACGGGGACUAAAGCCGGAUACGCCCGCUGGUGGAAAGUUUGAUCGGAGAAGGAUCGGGCCGCGUGAUGUAAGGUAGUUGGUGCGGUAAUGGCCCACCAAGCGGACGAGCCAUAGCUGGAUUGGGAGGAUGAUCAGCCACCCUGGGACUGAGACACGGCCCAGACUCCUCCGGGUGGCAGCAGUGGGGAAUGUUAGACAAUGGGGGCGAGCUUAAGGCAGCCAUGCCGCGUGAGUGAUGUAGGCGUUAGGGUUGUAAAGCUCUUUAAGCUGGGAAGGUAAUGACGGUACCAGAAGAGAAAGCCACGGCUAACUACGUG